This 253-nucleotide ribosomal RNA is filed under the name uncultured bacterium. Its description in RNAcentral is "partial 16S ribosomal RNA". It matches the Rfam family "Bacterial small subunit ribosomal RNA", at positions 524 to 776 of the family's 1533-position model. The record is from RNAcentral.
UACGUAGGUGACCAGCGUUGUCCGGAUUUACUGGGCGUAAAGAGCGCGCAGGCGGUCGUUCAAGUCGAGUGUGAAAGCCCCCGGCUCAACUGGGGAGGGUCAUUCGAUACUGAUCGACUCGAAGGCAGGAGAGGGAAGUGGAAUUCCCGGUGUAGUGGUGAAAUGCGUAGAUAUCGGGAGGAACACCAGAGGCGAAGGCGACUUCCUGGCCUGUUCUUGACGCUGAGGCGCGAAAGCUAGGGGAGCAAACGGG